Molecule: long non-coding RNA, 163 nt
Organism: Gallus gallus (chicken)
Lineage: Eukaryota; Metazoa; Chordata; Aves; Galliformes; Phasianidae
Exons: 3
Source: RefSeq, a predicted model, not a curated record
CCACCUCUCGCCCAGGGCAAGAAAGUGAGAUUUGCUGGCAAGCCAACCUUCAUCAAACGCUUGAGCUCGGACAGUCUAGAUGGAGGAAAACUCCGAAGGAUAAGGAGCUUACUGCGCAAGGAGAGCUCUACGUCCAGUCUGCUGCCAGCCAUCCCUGGAGUGC